CACACCCGGAGCCGGUUGUGGCCGUGGGCUCCCCCUGCUGGCGCACGGCCGCCGCGCCCCGCCGUCCUCGGCGGCUGUGGAACAGUGCUGUCUGCCAGGGUUUCCUCCAGGGGCCCGUUCAGACUUCCGCACAGACUUCCCCACCCUUGGCAACGCUCUCCACCCCCAUCUGCUUGACCCUAUUAUUUGUCGGGGUGGCGGAGAGAGCUUUGCAUUGAUUGCUUUUCUUUCCCAGAACUUCAAGAUGGACCUCCUUCUCCAAGAAAGUAUGGGUCUACGUGUGUGAUAGCUCACAAGAGGGCAAAUGCUUUGAGAUUGCCCAUGGAAGUGAAGCCUGUGGUCCUCGCAGAGUCACCAGAGACAGAGACAGAGUGCCAGUGGAGGAGGAGCAGAGAGAGAGGGAGACAGAGAAUCCGAAGCAGGCUCCAGGCUGUCGGCGCAGAGUCCGACACAGGGCUCGAACCCACCAACCGUGAGAUCAUGACCUGAGCAGAAGUCAGUUGCCCAAUGGACUGAGCCCCCACAUGUGGCUAUUUUGAAGAGAGAGAGAGCAUGUGCACACGAGCAGGGGAGGAGCAAAGAGAGAGAGGGAGAGAGGGGAUCCAAAGCAGGCUCUGCUCUGAUAGCAGAGCCCAAUGCGGGACUUGAACUCACGAACCUCAAGAUCAUGACCUGAGCCGAAGUUGGAUGCUUAACUGUCUGGGCCACCCAGGCACCCCGUCCUCUAUCUUCUUUGAUGCCUUUUGAAUUUUGUAUCCUAUGCAUGUGGUACCAAUUUUGAAAAUGAUAUCCAGGCAAUGGGGAUCCCCUGGAGAAUUUCAGGCAGAAUUUUGCCUGAAAACAAGGCUGUCAUCGUUAAUGCUGCUGAUCAACUCUUCUGAGUCUUUGAGGGGACCCAGAGUUUCAGUUUCAAGCACCAUGUGUUCAUAUGUGCCUCUGCAACAUCCCUGCAGCUCAUUGCAUUUCAUUGUAUUUUACUGCAAGAAUCAUAGCUUCUCCAAGUGCUGCCUUACAGGACAGAAAAAUCAAGAUGGAGCUGGGACAUCCUUGUUGUUAAAAACAUUCAGAUUAACAUAUAAUUCUGGAAAAGCAAGCAGGCCAGCCCAAAGGAAGCAGACUCAUCAUCUAAAGAGCAAUGAUUAUGCCCAGUUGAACAAGUAGUCUUAGAAGAACUUUGACUUCCCACUGAUCCUGCGCAGCACUGAUUAGCUUUCCUCCAAUCUAAGUCCAAACACUCCUGAAAACUUCAAGGAAUUCCAAAAACGAAGCUAUAUAAUUUCUGAAGCAAUGUGAUAACAAAUAAAGAAACAAAUAAAUAAAUUGAGGUGCUGUGUGUGAGAACACAAUCCCUCCCAAGAACUGGUAUCCAUUGGCAAUGGAAGCCAAGUCCUUUGGCUUUCGCAAAAAUAAGAGACUGCAUGAAACGUUUUGGCAGCAAAUGAGAAGUAGAACACUUAGCUCAGACAUGCAUACCUCACAUUUGUGCCAAUGCCUGUGGCCACAAGCAGAGGUGGCUCCAGCAGGAGUUUCAUCUUUGGACAACCUUGGCAGAGCCAGGAGUUCUUACAACAUCAAAAUGGAGCAGAGAGGAAUGUGUCCUACCACAGGAUAGUCAUAGAAGGAGCUAGUCACUUACCUCCUUCCCUAGUGGGUUCUAAGUAGCUAAGAGGAGACAGAAUCAAAGCCAAGGUCACCUUCACACCGUUAGUACUGAAUUGGAGAGCAAAGCUUGCUACCACUGCCUCUCUAAAUUGAAGGUAAUUGGCAGAGUAGAGUUGACCUGAUGUACCCAGCAAGUUUUAGGUAAAAUGUCUCUAACCCAGAGCAGAGACCUGGAUGGAUAGAGCAGAAGCAAGCCCUGCUGGCUGGAGACUCAAAAUGUUACUUGAGCCUGCCACGUCUAAGUGCAGGUGGCCCAAGGGAAGGAGACAGGGCACUCUGCCUUGCUUGUGUAAGCCCCCACCAGUAAAGUGGACCAAUCAGUUUAGCUAUUCUUCAGACUACAGGGAGAGAUAAACAAGGCAGUGGAGUGAAGGGUGGAUGUUUCCUCACCAACAUUUGUGAAAGGGCUGAAUUACUGUACAAUGUGUCCUCUUUUAUGAACAAAAGCAGGAGUAUGUAGAAAAGAUGAGAAAGGUCCCUCCUGUAUAAGUCUGUGAGGCCCGUGGAGCAUCUUGGGAGCUGAUAGGGUAGAGCCAAAGAAAUAAUGAUUUGUGACUCUUGUUACGACCCUUCUUCUACACACAGACAUCUAGAUAGCUUCGAAAUCCCAGUCCAUAUUUUGGAGGCCCUACCGAAGGGAUUCUAACAUUGUAAAUUCCGGUGCUUCCCAGGUGGCUGUGAGAUUUCCUGCUUCUCAGUUUCAGGCAUGACUCCUAAUCAUGGUGACAAAAUGCUUUAUCGCUGGGGCCUUAGGAUUCAGACUGCCCUUUCAUGAGUCUCAAGAUGCCAACCAGGGGAGAGUAGGGGAAACCUCUUUGCCUAGUUGGAGCCCACGGAUGGACCACUGAGGCCCUGAAACAUCAGGCAGAGGAGCCUACUGAGCUAAGGGGUGGGAUGAUUUACACUCUCUUCAGAAGGAUCAGGAGUAUAUCUUGGAAGCUCAUCUGGAAAGUGACAUUUAUGGACACUAACUUGUCUCCACAAAGGAAAUCCUUUGCAGACAUCCUCUCCCUCACUCCCCAGAGACCUAGGAAAAGUUUCCUCGGAGUGGGACUGAAAUAAUAGAAUAGGCGAUUGGGCAGGCAGUUAAGCCCAUGAUAGCAGCCACACUGUAGACAUAGUGCAGAAAUGACCAAUUUUGGGGAUGGAAGAGAAAAAAAAAGUAAGAGAGCAACAGGCUUGGAGGCUAGAUGGAGGCUACAAUUGGGGAAGAAUCCUUGAAGACCCUACUGAGUAUUUGAGCAUGUGGAGAGCAGCAAGGACCUGCUUGUUAAAUUCCUAAAUGCCCCAAAGGCAGGAAAAUGGAACCUCAGCAUGUGCGUUGAUAAUGAAGAAACCUACAGAGGCACAAGAGAGAGGGACUACUUACAAGAAGGGGGGAAGCAAUAUAGCAGCUCUAGGAUAGAGAGAUGAGAGUCUGAGUUUUGUUUGUUGGUUGCUUUUGUCUUUAAAGCUACAGAUGUGGGGGGGGGGGGUGGCGUGUGGGCGGCUCAGUCGGUUGAUUGUCCAACUCUUGAUUUCAGCUCAGGUAAUGCAUGGGAUUGAGCCCUGCCUUGGGCUCUGUGGAACGUGGAGUCUGUUUAGGAUUCUCCCUUUUCUUCUCCCUCUGCCCCUCCCCUGCUUGAGCUCUCUCUCUAAAGUGAAACCAAUCAAUCGAUCAAUCAAGUUGCAGAUAAGGGAGAAGAUGGUUUGUGGAAUGAGGUGUGCAGAGGGGGUGGAGAGGGUAGGAUCCCCAGGGGAUAUGGAAGGGUUCCCUUGCAGAGGAAAGAUACACCUAUUCCCACCGAUGCCUUCCAGAGAAGAAUAGAAGCAAACACCAGUAUAUCUUGAAUAGAGUGGGGAAAGUUGACACGUAGCAUCUUAUUGCCACUGUUCUCUCUGUGAAGUAUGCAACAAGGUCAUUGCUUAAAGUGAACAGAAGUGAAGCUGUGGGGAAGCGAUGGCAGUUUUAAAAGGCCAUUGGGGAAAACAGUGAGAGACCUGAGGGGCUGAGCCAGCCAAGGGAGGGGCGUGAGGGAAGGGUCACAGCAAGGCAUUAGUGCAAAGUGGUGGGGCCGGUGGUGAGAGCUCGGGAGGAACUGGACAAGGGCUGGAGUUUCAUAGUGACUGGACCAGAAGGGCAACCCUAUGUGGGGUGAGGCUGGGGGUCUGAGCCAACUGCCCUUUGAGGGCCCCAGAUUUCCCCCAUUUUCUUUGCUCCCUGACAGAAACCUGAUUCUGAGAGAGGCCAUCACCUCAUAAUGAUGGCAAGACUAAGUGGCACGUGCCAAAGGGAGCCAGAACUGAGACUAUCAUGACCUAGAGGUUACAGGAUCAGGCAACACUGAGUGAGUCUGACAGAAAGCCAGAGAAGAGGGCAUGGAGGUUAUCAAUCCAACCCCUUAUUUGAGAGCUGAGGACACUGAGGCCCAGAGAGGUAAAGGCGGUAGCAGAAGGGGCUCUCAGAAGAUGGCCCUUUCCUAACCCAGGAUUAUUUCUAUGGCUCCCAGGCUGGGCAUGGGGAGGGAGAGAACUGGGUGAAUCUCUUCUUAGAGCCACCAGCCUUCCAAGGGACAAGCUCUUGUUCAUGCUCCUGGGUGGGCCAGUGGGCAUGACAUUUACUUAUCCACGCCUCAGCUUCUCAGGCCAAAAAAACAAAAAACAAACAAACAAAAAAAAAAACAAAAACACAAAACCACACACACACACACAAAACAAAAAACAAACAAACAAAAAAACCUCUCUUCUCCCACUUCUCAGGAUACUCAAGUGCUGGUAACAAGGGUGGAGGAAGGGCUUCCUAAGGAUGGGGACAGUGGAGGAAAGGGAACACUGACGUAGGGCCAGCAUUUGUAGGCAAAGCAGCUGCUUGUAUUUGCCAGCCUCACAGGAAGACAAGGUUAAGAGUUUCAAAACAAGUUAAUGGCCAGUAAAAAAAGAUCAGGUAGAUUAUACCUCAGUAACUGCUCAGCAGCAAUUCUGUCCCAUAACCUAUCAUGCCCUACACUAGAUCUGUCUCAGAAUUCUGUUUGUCAACUAGCACCUGGGGCUGGGACACCCCCGAGGUGGACUUUGUUCUCCUAUCCAAUCACCAUCUGGUUCCCAGGGCAAAAUGUGGUAUCUAUACCCAGAGUGAGAGCUUCCAGUCCUGGUGGGGGACAUCAAGGCCUCAAAGAGAAGCCAACCCCCACAAUGUUCUACAGAUGAUGUAGCUGGUGCCUAGAGAGCCCAGGAAGGGCAUAAGUCCCCAUGGUCCUCUGGCUGCCCUGCCUCCAUGGAAGGAGGACAGCCCUGAGGUCUUGGCUCUUGUGCUAAUGAACUCUGACCUGUGGCCCCGCUAACUUGGCUGGAGGCCCAGCAUACCCUCCACCCCUGGAUCCCAUUUCAAGGGAUAUAGUGGGGCCCUUCCUGCCCUCCAGAUCCCAGAUCCUGGGCUGUGCAACCCCAGAUACUGUGAGAGGAAGGGCCCAUGAACAAGCAUGCAGUCAGACAGUCCUGUCUCCUCUGCAGAGACCACCUUCCACUGCAUCCAUAGAGAUUUUUUUUUAAUGUUUAUUUAUUUUUGAGAGACACAGAGUGCGAGCAGGAGAGGGGCAGAGAGAGAGGGAGACACAGAAUCCAAAGCAGGCUCCAGGCUCUGAGCUGUCGGCACAGAGCCCCAUGCAGGACUUGAACUCACAAACCACGAGAUCAUGACCCUGAGCCAAAAUCGGAUGCUUUAACCAACUGAGCCACCCAGGCACCCCCCUACUACAUCUAUAGAGAUUUUUCUUUAAAAGAAUUUUGCAGUGCCAGGUUAUCUUCAACCUGAAAAAAUUCAGAGGGUCAGUACUAGAUAAGGUUGUGAAGGGCAAAACAGAGACUGCCCUUGGCAGAAGUGUGAUUCUGUACAGAGAAGUGAGAAGUGGCCGGUCUCAGUGUCUGCAGGCCUGGGUCUCAGAGUGAGCAGCCUAAGCAUGUGUCUCGGGGAGCGUGGCUAGGCCGGGAAAUGCACAGGGUGUUUGGCCUGGGAACUACUGAAUCCUCACAGCAAGGCUGAAGUCCUAGAGAUGGGCAGUUCACCGGCAUCCCCUUUGGUGCCAGCUCCACAGCCAAGGACUUGGUAAAUAGCAGGGCAGUUUUGCUGGCAGUGCAUGCCCCCAACAUCUAGGAAGGAACAUGAAUCGGAACAAAUACACAAUAGGUGGGAGGAGAGGCUCCGGCCAGACCUCCUGGGCUGUGGAGGAUGAACCUGCUCACUUCUAGGCCCUGCUCAGACCUUUCUCCCAAUCUGCCCCUGGGAAGUACCAAGGAACAAAAUCUGAGCAGGAGCUGGGUGAAGCCUGGGCUUAAAGAAAAGUCAGCCAGGCAGAGGCCAUGUUUGCCCAUGUUUCCUUGACCCAGGGAGAGGAGCUUCCGGGCCGGGUCGGGGAAACUGGGCUGCAAAGCCCUGAGGCCGGAUCCCUGCUGUACCAGGAACCAGCCAACCUAGGGCUCAAUUUCCUCAUCUGCCACAUGGAAUAUGUGAGCUCUGCUAUAGAUAGUCACAAGAGUGUUUUGUAGGGACACUGAGAGCCUAUACUGCCCCCUGGUGUGAAUUUCUUUUCCUUUCCUUUCCUUUUUUUUUUUUUUUUUCCUGUUUUUCCCCUCGUGUGAAUUUUAAAAAGAACUCUCUAAUGUACACUACAGCUCCACAGAAGCCUGACUUGGUAAAUACAAAUGUUAGAGGCAUCUCCUUUCUUCUGGCAAAUGUAGUGCCCGGUCACAGUGCGUGGCUCAGCAGGGAGAGCGUAGACUGGAUUUCAGCCCCAGCUUGUCCCUGGGUUUGAUUCUCUUGCAUGGUGAACAGCCUCAUAAUCAUAUGUAGUCGUCCCGGGGUUGUGGGGACUGGAUGAGAUAAGGGCAAUGAGCAUAAUUUUAAAUGUGGGCAGGAUGGCAUUCAAUUCAUUUGAAUUUUAUUACAACACAGGAUUAGUAUUCACUUCCCCUACACCAUGGCAUCUACCACACCGCCCUUUCCAAAGCUCCCCACUCACUGUUUGAGGUGAGCAGUGGUGAUCAGCACCACAGAGCCUUCCCUGUGAGGAGACAGACAGGUGUGACAAGGUAGAAGGUAGGCAUAACCGAGAAGCCCAAUGCUUCCAGAAAAUGGGCUCCCAAGUGCUGAGGAGGCAGAACUGAGGCAUGAGAAGAAGGGAGAGUGGAGAUGGUGCCAGGGUCUCUGGGGAGGUAGGACCUGGGAGGGUGCUGCCACAGUUUCCCUGGCUGGGAAAUCCAGGACUUGCUGGAAUCAGUCCCGUGAGCAGAGAUCAAUAAGCAGCUAGAUCUCUGGAGAACAGAUCCAGGAAUAUGGAGCCAGCCAUGUACAAGGUCAGAGUAGCCCCAGGGAAGGCCACUCCCAUAGGAGGGGAAAUGCAUAGAGUCACCCAAGUUCCAAGUCUGAAUUGAGAGCAAGAGCAGGAACUAGUUGCUGAUGGUCACAGGAAGAGAUGAAGAGCAAAAGUAGGGAGAAAGUUGGCGAGCAGGGGAAAUACUUCCUCUGGCCUCUUUGGAGGGGUUAAGCACUCUGGGUUAUACCAUGAGGCCCCUGUCUCUUGCAGCUGCCUCUGCCAUUCUCAAGGACAGAGCACAUCAGAGAUGACCAGGGGCUCCUCUGUGGGUUUGGAAUCUUCCCUCCACGUUCCCUCCAAAUGUUCCCUUUCACUGUGUUGGCCACAUCCCCUGGGGACCCUAAAGAUGUGGUUCAGGAGGUGACAGGAGAUGGGUCUGGCAUCCAGACCUGCUAUCUUUGGGCUACUCUACUUAGUGGCCCCUUCUCCAAGGGUCCCCUUGGCGUAGAGGGAAUCAAGGCAGUCACCCCAACUCCAUGGACCCUCCCUACCCUUACUUCCUCUUGUCCAUGUAUGGCAGCAGCCAGCUCGGCAGCAGGACUGGGCUUUCACCUUCAUGUCUGGGAUCUGAAAUCAGAGGAGGGGGCAGAGGGGAUCUGUGAGGUACCCUGGCCUCUCUGUCUUGCAGUUCCACAGGCCAGAUUGGCUGUGGAAGGGAGCUGGGGGUGUGCACUGCUCUUCUCCAUGUGGCCCCAGAGUGGAAGAAGAGAAGGGGGCUGAGGGGCCUGCUCUGUCCACCAGGAAUUCUUAGCCUAAGAACCCCCUCACUGUUAUUCACUGCACAGAUUCUCUGCAGGGCACAUCACUCUCCAGAAAAGCACAUCGGUGAAAAUAGUAUCAGGAAAGGACAUUAGGAAAGCUGGUGUAUUAACGUCUGCUUUCAUAAGGAGAGUGAGAAUUCAGACUGUGUAAAUACCCACAGUUCUGUGUGGGGCACUGUUCAAGGCUGGUGCUGAAAUUUGAGUGUCCUAUAGAAGCUGGAGGCUGGGCUGAGGAGGGUGAGCAAGAAGCUAAGCCAGGAAGGCCAGGGAAUGUGAGAACUGAACAGAGAAGAUGGGUCAGGGUCUAAGGACAGAACAGCAGGGCUGGUCAGAAGAACAAGACUCCAUGAGGAGGAAAUGGCUCACCCUGACCAUUGGACCCAUCUCUACUGACAGUGUCCGGAGAGGGGGUGGGCCAGGACUGUGCAGACCCCCCUUCAGGGGGCCUUCAGACAGCAGGAGCAGCAGGAGCCCCUAGAAUGCUUGGUGGGCUCUAGUGGGAUGGCAGGUGUGGAUGGGGGUCCCUCCUCUCUGCUGUGUCUGUGGAUGGGUAAGGUGUCCCUGGGACAGCCAGGGUAGAUCAGAGUGGGUGUCGGUGAGUCCAGACUGAGACAGCCUCAGAACCCUGAGGCAGCAGAGAAGCUCUGGCCCAGAGCAGGGUGUGUCCCUUCAGAUCUUGGAAGAGAUCUGCGGUAUCAUUGGCCACCUGGGCAGACUGACCCAGGUGCCUCCACCCAAUGGAACUAGGGACUGUGGGCUCCCAAGAUACACGGGUAGCAGCUGGGAACAUUGCAGGUGUGUGAGCAGAGAUGGGAGACAGGGAAAAACCUCCCAGCUCCAUGCUCCCCAGGCCUCAAUUUGUCCCAUACUUGCCCAUGGCCCCCAGGGUACCCCCACACCAGGGGGUUGACCUCAGUGUUACACACCCCCACAGUGCUCCUGGGCCUGGGACGAGGCAGAGGAAGCACAGAGGAUGAGGAAGAGUCGAAACUCUGGAUCAGAAACCUUCUCCUUCCCUCCACAGUCAUCUGAGAAGGCUCCCUGUCGGAUGGGUCCUAGAACACUGAGCAGCAUUUCUGCAGCCUCCAAUGGGGCCUCAUGCUGAUUUCUCUCACCCUAACACUUAACUCUGAGAGAAAAAUGGACAGUGCCUAAGUCACCACCCUGUACUUGACCUGAGCUCCGUGUUCCCAGCCCUGCUGAGCUCUCUCCUCUCCCCCUCUGUCCUUCCAGGCAGACGGCUCUUCUUAACUCUCCCUCAUUUCUGAAAAUCUUCACUCUCCAAGCCCCAUACACCUGGAGUCUCUUCUCUGGAAAACAUAUCUGGACAAUCCCCACUCCCGCAGUGACCACGAUGGGCUCCCUAACCUGGCAUCUCCCUUGGUCCAGCCCACAGACCUGCCCCUGUCACAGACGUCGUCCCAGCUUCACUGGGCUUCCAGUGUCGGUUCCCUGCAGUGUCCCCCAGGUGCAGAGCCACAGUGGUGGUUAGGAAUGUGGGUUUGGGAGUCAGGCAGACCUUGGUUCAAAAUUAUCCCUGCCACUUAACCUUUCCAGGUCUGUUUCCCACCAUAAAGCUGUUAUAACAACAUCGAGUGCUUCACAUACUAAUGUGACAGGGUGUUAGUAUAUGCCUGGCACAUAGUAAAUAUUCAAAAAUAUGUUAAGGAGAGGAGCAUUUUAACUUAGAGCCCUCCUCCCCCAGACUGGAUCUAUGUGUUUUCAUCUCAACCCUCAGGCCCCUGUGGUCCCUCACCGUGGCCAUCAGCUGCUCCCAGCCUUUGGCCUUCCCCACGUGGCACACGGUGCCCACCACGCUCAGCCCCUCCCCCUGCAGUGCCACCACUGCCCGGUCCACGUUCUGCUGCUUCCGGCUGCUGACCACCACGUGACCCAUCCCAACCCAUGUGCAAAACCCCUCCCACCCUCCUCCUGGGAUCCUGAUCUUAAUACAUUCUCCUGCGUCCCAGCCUCCAAAUCUUUUGAGCAGGAAAGAAGAACUAACAUUUAUAGGCCUAAACACCAUCCUAUUAUCCACUCUACCAUAAAGGCAUUAUUAUCCAAUUACUAUCAUAUUUUACAGAAGUGGUUAAGUAAAGUCAAAAUUGCUCAGGUAAAUAAACGUGGAGCCCAUUCAAAUCCAGGUCUGAGUCCGAAGCACCUGCCCUUUCCACCUUCUUACUUGGCUCCUGGGAUACAGGAGAGUUUAAUGAGAGAGCUCACCCUUGGAAAGAUGAUGAUUACCAGAGCUGGUGAUGGAAUGGGGGGAUUGGACAGGGACGUGGGAGAAGGGAGUUGAUGGCAGAGCCCACCCUGUAAUGGGGACACUGCAUCCUUUGGCACACGCCAGCCAGGGUCUCCCAUUUACUCACCCCUUUGUGGGCCCAGUGACCACAGCCACUUUAUCAGCCAGCACACCACUCCUGCCUGCCUUGCUGCUGUGCAUGCUCACUGAGAGAGAGGCCAAGGAGCAACGAAGAGUCCUAAAGUCCGUGAUGCAGCCCCAGGCAUGGUGGCCAGUUGUCAGGCCUCCCUCUUGCUGAACCCAACCCCAGGAAGGCAGUUGGCAUGGUGGAAGCUGUGUCUUUAUGGUGGUGUCUCUGUGGUAUCUCCCAUGGAUCCCCUAAACUCCCUGCAGUCUCACAGGGAAUAUGCAGAGUGGUCCUCAACCCAGCCCUCAGACCAGCUUCCCACUUCUCAGUGGACCACUCCAUCAUCAGAGCGAACAUGGUCACACCCAAGUGGUUCUUGUUUAGAGGGUCACCAAAGUCCCAUGCAAGGAGCAGAGCUCACUUCUCCAUUCCUUGCCCCCCACCCCCGCCACCCCCCCACCGCAUUACCUGACCACAUCCCUUGUUCUGCUUAUCUCUUGUUUCUAUCCUUCCUCUACAUUGUGUAGCCAUCGCCCCAGCCCCUGUCUUCAUUUUCUCCUCAUGUUAUGGCAACUUCCUCUUCCCACCAUCCUCACCUCAGCCCGGACCCCAGACGUGUCUUCUCUAUGGGCCUCAGGGACCACGUUAUCCCCUCCUCUCUGAUGGCUCUCAUCCAGCUGUGGACAAAGCCCAGCCACUCCCCUUGGCUUGUAGACUUUCCUAGGGGUGCUCCAGGCAGCCCUCCAGGCCUCUCCUCCCUACCCCCACCCCCACUGACCCCAGGCCAUGCCCUUGGAACAGCUCAGGCCCAUUGCUCCAAGAUCCCACUGGGAGUUUGCUGUCCUUCUCACAGCCUUGUCUCAAAACAAGUCUCCCUCCUAAUGCCGCCCUGGUUCCGCUCCCUCUCCUUCCAGCUUCCCCUGCCUCCUGGAGAAGAUUGGAAAAUAGUAAUAACGAUAAUAAUGGCUCUCUUCUAUUGAGCAUUUUCCCUGGGAGGGGCUGUCGUGCUAAGCAUUCCACAUGCAUUUUCUUCCGUCAUCUUCUCCUUGGUCCUGUGAGGUAGACAUUGUUAUUAUCACUCCCAUUUCAAAGAUGAGGAUACUGAGGCUCAGAGAAGUUUGCUAACUUGCUCAAGCUCUCAAAGCCAUAAGGGGAGGAGUACUGACUCAGCCAGAGGCCAGUCAGAAUUCAGGUUCAAUACGUCCUCUCACUCCUGGCAGUGCAAUCCUUGGGUCGACCUUUCCUGAAGACCUACAAAUGAUCUUUCUAUCCUUGUUACCCUAAGAAGUCACUUACUUUUGACGUGUAGAACACUUGUGGGUAAAAAAAAAAAAAAAAAAAAUCUAUCAAAGAAAAUCCUUAUAAAAUUUCAUUUAAAGGGUUGACUGAUAUUUCUAAAAUCUAUUUAAGCCAUUUUUUAGUUUGAAGAAGCAUCUAUUCUUUUGUACCAUUCAACUCCUGCUUCUUAAGAAACCAGGCUCAUGCUCAGUCUUUUGUCUGUGAGAUUCAACAAGUGGUGCCUGGGGACAAGCAACAUAAAAGCCUCCUCUCUGCCCUUGGGACAUGUAUGGUCUCAUUUGAUCCCAUGGGAAGUGAUUAACAAUAACGUGACAGUAACUAGUCAGAUGUCCAAAUGUCUAGUGUAAGGGCCAAGUGUGAUCCCCCAGGGAUGGAGGGCAGGAAGGGCCUAUGCAGGAAGAGGCUUGAGGAAAGAGCAGGAUAUAUUUUGGUGGAGAGGGCUGUGGGGCCCUCCGGGCACCAUUCACUUGUAGAAUGGUGAGGUGGGAAUGUUCACCAGCUAGGACAGAGGAGUGGGUGCUGUGGGCUGAAUGUCUGUGUCCCCCCACAAGUCAUAUGUUGAAACCUACCCCAACAUGAUGGGAUCAGGAUGGAGUGCCUUUGGGAGGUCAUAGGAUUAGACAAGGUCAUAGGGUAGAAACCCUCAAGAAUGGGAUCAGUGCCCUUGUAAGAGUCAUGGGAGAGCUUGCUUCCUCUCCCUGCUCUCUGAGGAUAUGAGACGUCAGUCCCCUGCAGUGGGGAGGUAGGCCCUCGCUGGAACCCGACCACACUAGCCCCUGAUCUCAAGACUUGUAGCCCCCAGAAUGGUGAGAAAUACAUUUCUGCUGUUUUUAAUCAGUCCCGCUUAUGGUAUUUUGUUAUAGCACCUCGAACAGACUAAGUAAGGCGUGAUCCUUGUUAGGGAAGCGCUGAUCUCCUUCAGUGUGAUAAAUGACAAAUCAUCAUACUCAAAAUUUAUUCUAGGUCCCAGUUAAUAGAAGUGGCUACUCACUCUUCUUCUAUAGUCCAUCUUUUAUACAUUUAAUUUUCUUCCCCAUUCUGGAUGGUCCGUCCUAUUCUUUUACAGUGCUCUCAAGAACCCUGCCCAGGAGGAAAGCUACACUUGUCAUAUAACAAGUUCAUUGUCUGAAAAUGGUCAUGGGACCCCACUCUUGGCUGCCUGGACAAAUUGCCAGCUGGGACCUAAGACUCCCCCUUCCCCGGUGGAAAAUGUGCGAUGUUCUCUGACGCUGAACUUGUGGUUUUUUCCAACACCAAACACUUGUCAUUCUUCCACACCAAUCUCCAGUUCUCUGACACCAACUGUGUGUCCAACAAUUCCAUCCAAUUUUGACAUGAACAGGAGUUAGCGCAGACCCUAUGAGGUAAGGACUCGGCCCCACCAGACUGCCCCACUUCAGAUGCCAGCUACAAAGAGAGGGACCAAGAAUGACUCCAGAGUCUGAAGCGUGGGCAGUUGGAAGAAUGACAUCACCAUCAUCUGAGGUAGAGAAAACUGCAGCUAGAACACAUUUGGGGGAAACAGGAGGAGUUUGGUCUGGAGACCGUAUUAGUUACCCAAUUUCCACAUAACAAAAUACACUGAUAUUUGGUGACUUCGGACAACAAUCAUUUAUUAUCUCAGAGUCUCAUGGGGCAAGAAUUCAGGAGUGGCUGACCUGGUGGUUCUGGCUUGGGUGUUCUUAUAAGGUGGACGUCAGGAUGUCAACAGCCUCUCUGUCUCAUACCUCACAUCCACUCUGUCAGGAAAUCCUAUUGAUUCUACCCCUCUCUCUCUAUCGAAAUGUAAUACUGUCACCACUUGCACUGCUACCAGCUGGUGGGAGCCACCGCUAGCUCUCUCCCUUCUAUCCUAGCCUGCCUAAAGUCCCUCCUCGACAUAGGGGUCUAGUUAUCCUUAAACACAUCAGCCAGAGCACAUGAUUCCUUUUCUUUCUUUCCUCCCUCCCUCCUUCCCUUCUUUCUUUCUUUUUUUCUUUCUUUCUUUCUUUCUUUCUUUCUUUCUUUCUUUCUUUCUUUCUUUCUUUCUUUCUUUUAAAUGUUUAUCUAUUCUGAGAGAGAGAGAAAAGGUACGUGUAAGUGGGGGUGGGGCAGAGAGCAAAUCCCAAGCAGGCUGCAUGCCACCAGCACCAGCCCAGAGCCCAAAGCGGGGCUCUAAUCCAUGAACUGUGAGAUCAUGACCUGAGCUGAAAUCAAGAGUCAGACACUUAACCAAAUGAUCCAUCCAGAUACCCCCAGGUGAUUCCUUUUCUUGAAGACUUGCAGUUUUAUCAUUCAGGGUAGAAGUCUGUCUUAGUCCACUUGGACUGCUAUAACAAAAUUACCAUUGACUAGUGGCUUCUAAGUGACAAAACGUUCAUUUUCUGCCAUCUGGAUGCUGGGAAGUUCAAGAUCAAGGUGCUGGCAAAUUUGGUGUCUGGUAAUGGCUAGCCUGCUGGUUCAUAGACAGCUUUCUCAGGCUUCUUUCAUAAGGGCACUAGUCCCAUUCAUGACGUGAGGGCUCUACCCUCAUGACCUGAGGACAUCCCAAAUGCCUCACCUCCUCAUACCAUCAACUUGGGGUUCAUCUCAACAUACGAAUUUUGAGGAGACACAAACAUUCACACCAUAGCAAAGUCCAAAUCCUUACCAUGUUCUAGAAGGGUCUAAAUGUACUGUGCUGUCUCCUUACUUCUCUGACUUCAUUGCUACUAUCCUCCCAGCCACACUGGCCUUGUGUUCCUCAAACAUGACAAACAUACUUCUGCCUUAAGGCUUCUUCAUUGACUGUUACCUCUUCCUGAAAUGCCUUUCCCCAAGAUAUCUUCACACUUAUCACCUUCCCCUUCUGCAAGUCUUUGCUUAAAUGUCACUUCUCAAUGAAGCCAAGCCUGGCCACUCUGUAUUCCUCUAUCCUUCUAGCACACUGGAUCCCUCUUAAACCGCUUUACUUUUUCUUUUCCACUACACUAUAUUUCCAACAUACUAUUUAAUUUACUUAUUUAUAAUGUCUCCUGUUUAUUGUCUAUAUCUCCUGCUAGAAAGUAAGCUCUUUGUCUUGUUGACUGAUGUAUCCCAAGUGCCUAGAACAGUGACUGACACAGAGUAUGCAUUCAAUAAAUAUUUGUUGAAUGAAUAAGUGAAUGAAUAAAUUAAUGGGCCAAUCUACAUAUCCCUAUACAAGAGCUUUCUGUAUUUGUGCACUUUUAAUCUAAAGCUCUCAGUUUCAGUUAUUUCAAACUUGUAUACCUCAGGGAGAAAAACUUAAGAAUGCUUCUCAGCACCUAACAUUAGGGCCCACUAACUUCCUGCACUGACCUUCAGCAAGCAGAAAUGCUAGGAAGUCAAGGGCAGGAGGGAAAUCAUGAUCCUUAGAUUCUCAAAUUCUCAAAUGCUCAAGCUAAAAGGCUAGCAGAAGAGGGGCAUCUGCGUGGCACAGUUGGUUGAGUGUCUGAUUCUUGAUUUUGGCUCAGGUCAUGAUCCCAAGGGUCUUGGGAUCAAGCCCCACAUCAAGCUCCACACUGAGCAUGGAGCCUGCUUAAGAUUCUCUCUCUCUCUCUCUCUCUCUCUCUCUCUCUCUCUCUCUCCCCACUCUCCCCU
Molecule: long non-coding RNA, 15021 nt
Organism: Acinonyx jubatus (cheetah)
Lineage: Eukaryota; Metazoa; Chordata; Mammalia; Carnivora; Felidae
Exons: 6
Source: RefSeq, a predicted model, not a curated record